AGUGAACGCUGGCGGUAGGCCUAACACAUGCAAGUCGAACGGCAGCACAGUAAGCGCUUGCUCUUACGGGUGGCGAGUGGCGGACGGGUGAGGAAUACAUCGGAAUCUACUUUUUCGUGGGGGAUAACGUAGGGAAACUUACGCUAAUACCGCAUACGACCUACGGGUGAAAGCAGGGGCUCUUCGGACCUUGCGCGAUUGACUGAGCCGAUGUCGGAUUAGCUAGUUGGCGGGGGAAAGGCCCACCAAGGCGACGAUCCGUAGCUGGUCUGAGAGGAUGAUCAGCCACACUAGAACUGAGACACGGUCCAGACUCCUACGGGAGGCAGCAGUGGGGAAUAUUGGACAAUGGGCGCAAGCCUGAUCCAGCCAUACCGCGUGGGUGAAGAAGGCCUUCGGGUUGUAAAGCCCUUUUGUUGGGAAAGAAAAGCAGCAGGUUAAUACCCCGCUGUUCUGACGGUACCCAAAGAAUAAGCACCGGCUAACUUCGUG
This 492-nucleotide ribosomal RNA is filed under the name uncultured bacterium. Its description in RNAcentral is "partial 16S ribosomal RNA". It matches the Rfam family "Bacterial small subunit ribosomal RNA", at positions 29 to 507 of the family's 1533-position model. The record is from RNAcentral.